Aethalodelphis obliquidens (Pacific white-sided dolphin) is the source of this 1461-nucleotide long non-coding RNA. RefSeq lists it as uncharacterized. NCBI's taxonomy places the organism in Eukaryota, Metazoa, Chordata, Mammalia, Artiodactyla, Delphinidae. The record is from RefSeq and is a predicted model, not a curated record. The transcript has 3 exons.
CUGUCUGUAACCUGACCCGUUGCGCGCCCAGCCCACAGGGCGGGAGAAUCAACACAGCGGUUUUCCCCGUCCUCUUCCGCCCUGGAAUGGCCUUUGGGGACACAGCAGCCUGGUAACGGAUUUCUUGGCUCGGCUGGAAUACUCUCCCCGCUCUCGGAGACGGGGCGCAGCUCGGCCCAGACUGCUCAGGGUGCAGACGCGCCCCGCCUCCGGAGCUGCCCUCAAGGGGUCACCCUCUCUGGGCUCUUCCCUGUCUGGACUCCAGAUUUUCUCUGAGAACGACAAACAAAGAAGGAAAAAGACUUUGUGCCGGGUGAGCCAGGGGAGGAGGAGGAAGACAUUUCCAUAGCGGCACAAGGAGACCAGGCUUCUUUCUCGUCCACGAGGCUGAUGGCGCAGCUUCUGGGAGAAACUGCGAAUGUAUUUUUAUCCGCCAACAAACUGGAGCCUUGCUAGAAAGAGAGAGCUUGGCUGAAUGAAAGUAAAAAUAGAGUAACGCUGUGAAAUCACGGAAAUCACCGAAUGCCUGAGACACUUUGUCCAUUAUUUGGAAAUAUUAUAGAAUGAUAGGAUCUAAGAAUAGAAACCUCAAAAUGCAACACAACCUUCAGAGGAUUGGAGGUGAAAAUAACAGGAGUCUCACCUCCUCACAAGGGAGCCAGAAGAUUGCUUUCUCAGACUCUCUCGCUGCUGGGUGCAAGCCUGUGACCCGGGAUCCAUGACCGGGGGUUCACACACACACUGGGUUUAGCACAAGGAGCGGGGGUCAGAGUCCUGGAGGCCCGUCCUGUGCUCAGCGAGGAUGGGACCCCGGGCAAGCGGACCACGGCGACAGAGCCCCUACUGGAGACGCCCGGAACUGCAGUCUGAGCAUCGUUGCUGGCGGCUCGCUUCGGAGACUGAUUCUAUGGUCUCCUGGAGAUUCCACGAGCUACUUAACAACCUUCCAUAAAUUCCUUUUCGCAUUGAACAAGCUAGAGUGGAGUCUGUUGCCACAUCUUGGGUCAUCUAUUCUGCAACUGGCGUUGUCUCCAGGACCUCAUUAUGUUGUCUUCCAAUCAAUGACAAGAUUAUGAAGUCUCAUUCCCACGCUACUAUAACUCAAAAUAAAAACAACACGAACCACAAAAUAUGUAUCAUUAUUUUAAAUCUUUGCUUUCUAGAAUAAUUUGCAAGGUGCUGGUUAAACUCCUGGACGUGAAACUUCUCUCUCUCUUCUCUCAGCCCCUCUCACGCUCUUGCUUUUCUGGUGCUCUAAACUGACACCUAAUCUGCCUCUAGUCCUGCACUGUCCAAAACGAGAACCACCAGCUUGUCCUAUGCGGCUGCUGAGCACCUGAAAGGUGGUUGGUCUGAACUGAGAUGUGCUGUAAGUGUGAAAUACACAUUGGACGUUGAAGACACUACUGGAAAAAAAAAAAGACUGCAAAAUAUUUCAUUAAUAGUUUUGUAUAUUAAUUU